Molecule: ribosomal RNA, 515 nt
Filed under: uncultured bacterium
Lineage: Bacteria
Description: partial 16S ribosomal RNA
Rfam family: Bacterial small subunit ribosomal RNA
Source: RNAcentral
GAUGAACGCUGGCGGCGUGCCUAAUACAUGCAAGUCGAGCGAAUGGAUUAAGAGCUUGCUCUUAUGAAGUUAGCGGCGGACGGGUGAGUAACACGUGGGUAACCUGCCCAUAAGACUGGGAUAACUCCGGGAAACCGGGGCUAAUACCGGAUAACAUUUUGAACCGCAUGGUUCGAAAUUGAAAGGCGGCUUCGGCUGUCACUUAUGGAUGGACCCGCGUCGCAUUAGCUAGUUGGUGAGGUAACGGCUCACCAAGGCAACGAUGCGUAGCCGGCCUGAGAGGGUGAUCGGCCACACAGGGACUGAGACACGGCCCAGACUCCUACGGGAGGCAGCAGUAGGGAAUCUUCCGCAAUGGGCGAAAGUCUGACGGAGCAACGCCGCGUGAGUGAUGAAGGCUUUCGGGUCGUAAAACUCUGUUGUUAGGGAAGAACAAGUGCUAGUUGAAUAAGCUGGCACCUUGACGGUACCUAACCAGAAAGCCACGGCUAACUACGUGCCAGCCGCCGCGGUAA